This 468-nucleotide ribosomal RNA is filed under the name uncultured bacterium. Its description in RNAcentral is "partial 16S ribosomal RNA". It matches the Rfam family "Bacterial small subunit ribosomal RNA", at positions 28 to 507 of the family's 1533-position model. The record is from RNAcentral.
GACGAACGCUGGCGGCGUGCUUAACACAUGCAAGUCUAACGGAAAGGCCCUGCUUUUGUGGGGUGCUCGAGUGGCGACCGGGUGAGUAACACGUGAGUAACCUGCCCUUGACUUUGGGAUAACUUCAGGAAACUGGGGCUAAUACCGGAUAGGAGCUCCUGCUGCAUUGUGGGGUUUGGCAAGUUUCGGCGGUUGGGGAUGGACUCGCGGCUUAUCAGCUUGUUGGUGGGGUAGUGGCUUACCAAGGCUUUGACGGGUAGCCGGCCUGAGAGGGUGACCGGCCACAUUGGGACUGAGAUACGGCCCAGACUCCUACGGGAGGCAGCAGUGGGGAAUAUUGCACAAUGGGCGGAAGCCUGAUGCAGCAACGCCGCGUGCGGGAUGACGGCCUUCGGGUUGUAAACCGCUUUCGCCUGUGACGAAGCGUGAGUGACGGUAAUGGGUAAAGAAGCACCGGCUAACUACGUG